GUGUGUUCGGUGUGUGUUCAGGGUGUGUGUUCAGGGUGUGUUCAGGGUGUGUUCGGUGUGUGUUCAGGGUGUGUUCAGGGUUCAGUGUGUGUUCAGGGUGUGUUCGGUGUGUGUUCAGGGUGUGUUCGGUGUGUGUUCAGGGUGUGUUCGGUGUGUGUUCGGUGUGUGUUCAGGGUGUGUUCGGUGUGUGUUCAGGGUGUGUUCGGUGUGUGUUCAGGGUGUGUUCAGGGUGUGUUCAGGGU
Molecule: long non-coding RNA, 242 nt
Organism: Oncorhynchus keta (chum salmon)
Lineage: Eukaryota; Metazoa; Chordata; Actinopteri; Salmoniformes; Salmonidae
Exons: 3
Source: RefSeq, a predicted model, not a curated record